GGGACAAAGGGGGCCAGAUGGUGCAGGGUUGGGAGAUCUCACAAGGACUUUGCUUUAACUUUGAGACUGAAGCCAGGGGAGGACCCUGAGCGGAGGAAGGACGGGAUCUAACUUAGAACGGUUUCCCUCUGCCUGCCAAGUUGGAGUAAAUUAAUAUCUGAGUUCCCACAAGGCUAGAACCCUGUCUCUGUUCUCUCCUCUCCCUGGCUUCCAGAAUAGAGGUCGGCAAACAACCACCCCCAGGCUGAAUCCUCCCACUUCCUGUUUGUAUCAAUAAAGUUUUAUUGAAACAGACCCACACCCAUUCCUUUACAAUUAUCCGUGGCAGCUCUCUGAUGCAAGACCGCGGUAGAGUAGAAAUAGCAGAGACCGCCUGGGUCUCAAAGCUGAAGAUAUUUACUGUUGGGCCUUUGACAGAAGACGUCUGCUGACCCCUGAUCAGGCACCAGACCUGCCAUGCUGUAGGCACUCAGUAAAUGUUUGUCGUUAUAUCUCCAAACCCGUGGCUCAUCUGUGACCCUCACGAGGCUGCCAGCCUGUUUUUGUCUCGAAGCCAGUUCCAGCUUCGAGUCACAUGCAGAAACACAACUGCCCAGUGACCAAAAAUAAAAUACUGGAACCAUUCGCAUUUUUCCCCUGGAAGCAUUGACCAGGCAGGAAUACAGUCAGGACCCAGAGAGAAACUUAGCAUGUUUUUCAUCCGUUUCUUUUUCUCUAUGAAGACUUGGGGGCCCCUUAACCCCUGUCAGGCAUGGAAGUGCUCCUCCAUUUUUUUCUCAUUAAAAAAAAAUCCCGCAGGGGUUCUCUGGUGGCCUGAGUGGCUUUAUCACUGCUGUGGCAUGGGUUCGAACCCUGGCUUCAGGCAAAGCCAAAAAAAAAAAAAAUCCCCCAAACCCUCUUCCAUAAAACGGCCCCCUCCCUGGCUCUACUGUCUUCUCCAUUCUUAGCUCCAGCAUUUUAUUUUUGUACAUGAACUUCGCUCCUUGCUGGCUUUUUUCCCUACACUUGUGCUGCCUGCCCAUUACUCAGAUUCUGCAUAGCAAGGGAGCCGUAAGUUAAGAAUAAUGGGGCUGUGCCGGCUGGCAGGAAUCCCUCUGGGAACUGAAAGGCUCCCACAUCCUGAUUUCCUUUUCUCCCCAAGCACAUCCAUCCCAGUUUCCCAUCCAUCCCCAUUUCCCGAGUUCCCUCUCUACUGCAGUUUAUCCUGUAUCCUCAGGACCCACAGAGGGAUCAGAUCCUGUCCCUGACAGCCAGGGACUCCCAGAUUAUUAAUAGAGGUAAUCCCAGUGCCUGGAGUAAAGGGAUGGAUGCGUGGUAGGGAUGAGUUUCAAUCUUUAUCCUGAGGACCCUCUCUGGCAGGCCUGGAUGGAGGCCAGCGGGAGGGCUCUGAGACAGCAGAGUGCUUCCUUCUGACCUGGUUUCCUGGGUCUCAGAAGCCACAACCCAAGCUCUGGGGCCAGACUUCUUGAAUUCAAAUCCAGGCUCUCGUGCUUUCUAGCUGUGCAACCUUGGGCAGCCUUCCCUCAAUGUCCUCAUCUGUAAAAUGGGUAUGACACUAGCACCUACUAUGUAAAGUUAUUGGGAGGAUUAUGGAAUUUAAUACAUAUAAAGAGCUUAGAACUGUGCCUGGCACACAGAACUUCUACAUGCCCUGGGAGGAGCCAGGGGGAAAAAAAAAAGAAAGAAAAGAAAAGAAAAAUCUCAAUAUUAUCAUUUCAUGAUGUCAUCAAGUACCCUAUAAAUUGAGCAGAAUGAAUGACACCUCCAGUGUAAACCCUCCAUGGGAAUGAUGACAUCAUUAGUUGCCAAGUAGAUUUAAUCCCAGAGGGUAUUGAUGACAGCACCAGUUACCAGGCAGAAAAUGUGCAUGUCAGAGUCUUGAUUCCUGUUUGACUGUCUGUGUGUCCCAGUCUUCCUUGGGGCACAUGGGAUUUUCAUGUAGCCGAGCUUCAGUUUUCUAUCAGUCAAAUGGGGAUAAUAAAGUUAUCCAUCUCAUAGGAUUGUCGAGAGCAUCCAAAGAGUUCACACGUAAAAAGGCACAAUGUCCAGCACACAGUCAGCACUCAAUAAACAGCUCCUGCUAUCCUCAGGCAGGAAGCUUCCAUGGUGAACACUCUGGCCAGAGUAACAGGUACUCUCCUCUCUUCAUUAAGGGCACAGAUACAGGAGCCUGACCUGUUGCUGUCUGAGCCCAGAUCUGCCAUCAAAAUCAGCCAGGGGACCCCAGGCACAUUGCGGGCCUGUAAAGUGGGGUGAUGACAGUGCCAAUUCAUAGGACAGGCAUGAGGAUGCAUUCAAAUGAUGAUGGGCAAGUCCUAGCCCAGAGUCAGGCUGCAUACAUAUGGGCCGUAUUAUCACUGAGGAUGCUCUAGGCAAGGUCCUCCACUCCUUGGAACUCAGUUUCCCCGUCUGCCAAGAGACAGGCAGCGGCCGUGGCAAUCUCAAUGCUUCUUGCCUGUAAGGACUUACCUUUGCCAUUGCUGAGCAAAUGCCUUGGGAUUCGGAUGCUCUCACCUGUGUCUGCCCUCAGCCAAGUCCAGAUCUCUCCUUCUCUCUCUUUAUUUCCAUCUCUUGCCCCUUUUUGCUUUUCUAGACUUCUCUCUCUCUCUUGUUUCUCUCCUACGUGCUAUUGGAAGGCUAUUUGUAGAACAAGAAAUAGCAACAGUGAUCAGAAGCAUAAUUUGUUUAUUCAGUUCUUUCCUGAUGCCAGGACCGCUCUAAGCUCUUAGCAUGUAUUAACUCAUUUAAUUCACAUGAUGCAAGGACUUGUUACUACUGAUUCAACAAAUACUUAUUGAGCGCCUACUAUGUGCCAGGCCCUGAGGAUCCAGCUCGGAGCAAAACAAAGACCCUCGCCCUCGUGGGACUUACAUUCUAGUGGAGAGACAGAAGAUAAACAG
Molecule: long non-coding RNA, 2900 nt
Filed under: Sus scrofa (pig)
Lineage: Eukaryota; Metazoa; Chordata; Mammalia; Artiodactyla; Suidae
Description: lncRNA (ENSSSCG00025072941.1, ENSSSCG00035075160.1)
Source: RNAcentral